Molecule: ribosomal RNA, 241 nt
Filed under: uncultured bacterium
Lineage: Bacteria
Description: partial 16S ribosomal RNA
Rfam family: Bacterial small subunit ribosomal RNA
Source: RNAcentral
CACGCCGUAAACUAUGAGCACUAAGUGUCGGAGUAAAAUUCGGUGCUGCAGUUAACACAAUAAGUGCUCCGCCUGGGGAGUACGGUCGCAAGACUGAAACUCAAAGGAAUUGACGGGGACUCGCACAAGCGGUGGAGCAUGCGGUUUAAUUCGAUGCAACGCGAAGAACCUUACCAGGUCUUGACAUACUGUUGACAGGGUUAGAGAUAGCCCCUUUCUUCGGAACAACAGAUACAGGUGG